UACGUAGGUGGCAAGCGUUGUCCGGAUUUACUGGGUGUAAAGGGCGUGUAGCCGGGCUGACAAGUCAGAUGUGAAAUCCGGGGGCUCAACCCCCGAACUGCAUUUGAAACUGUUGGUCUUGAGUAUCGGAGAGGCAGGCGGAAUUCCUAGUGUAGCGGUGAAAUGCGUAGAUAUUAGGAGGAACACCAGUGGCGAAGGCGGCCUGCUGGACGACAACUGACGGUGAGGCGCGAAGGCGUGGGGAGCAACCAGG
This 253-nucleotide ribosomal RNA is filed under the name uncultured bacterium. Its description in RNAcentral is "partial 16S ribosomal RNA". It matches the Rfam family "Bacterial small subunit ribosomal RNA", at positions 524 to 776 of the family's 1533-position model. The record is from RNAcentral.